CCAAAUGAAUUGCCUAAUCCUGAAGAUGUAACGAGCAAUUUGGGAAAAUAAAUUUGUCGUAAUCUUUUACGGUUGCGAAGGAAUAGUGGCCACAAGAAAAAUAGUGUUUGGGGAGAUAACUCUUACAACGUUAAGUAUGUUGUUACGCGGUUGUAAAAUUUUAAAGCGUAUAAACUAUACGACAUCAUAUUCCAAAUAUCUAAGCGACGUCUUUCGAAACAUCAAUACUACGCAAGAAAAAAUUUAGGCGG
RNAcentral lists this long non-coding RNA (251 nucleotides) under Mytilus galloprovincialis (Mediterranean mussel). The record is from RNAcentral. Lineage: Eukaryota; Metazoa; Mollusca; Bivalvia; Mytilida; Mytilidae.